RNAcentral lists this unclassified non-coding RNA (312 nucleotides) under Hevea brasiliensis (rubber tree). Lineage: Eukaryota; Viridiplantae; Streptophyta; Magnoliopsida; Malpighiales; Euphorbiaceae. The record is from RNAcentral.
GAAUUGUCCUGCAAAAUUCUAGUUUCCAAAUAGGGGGAUUAUGUUUUUGCAUGAUUUGAAAUUGAGAACGAAAUCUAAGGUUUGUGAGUUCUUAAUAUUUGACCUGUUUUCGAGUCAUUAUUUUUAAUUUGAGUUGGUCCGUCCCUUAGAUUGCUUUGGUUAUUUAUUACAAUGCCGCAGCAUAAACUCUUAAUUUUAUGAUCUUUGAAUCAGAUUUGAGAGUGAUCCUUUGAGAGUGAUCCUUUUCAAUAAGUUACCAUCAUCAUGAAUUUAUUUCCUUUGCUUCAUUUAUGUCUGAUUGAGACAGGGAGG